AUACGUAGGGGGCGAGCGUUGUCCGGAAUUAUUGGGCGUAAAGGGCGUGUAGACGGUCAUAUAAGUUACAGGUGAAAGCCCAUUUUUCAAGGAUGGAACUGCCUGUAAGACUGUAAGACUUGAGUGCAGGAGAGGGAAGCGGAAUUCCAAGUGUAGCGGUGAAAUGCGUAGAUAUUUGGAGGAACACCAGUGGCGAAGGCGGCUUUCUGGACUGCAACUGGCGUUGAGGCGCGAAAGCGUGGGGAGCGAACAGGAUUAGAUACCCUGGUAGUCCACACUGUAAACGAGGAAUGCUAGGUGUAAGAGGUAUCGACCCCUUUUGUGCCGGAGUCAACACAAUAAGCAUUCCGCCUGGGGAGUACGGCCGCAAGGUUGAAACUCAAAGGAAUUGACGGGG
This 397-nucleotide ribosomal RNA is filed under the name uncultured bacterium. RNAcentral's name for it is "partial 16S ribosomal RNA". It matches the Rfam family "Bacterial small subunit ribosomal RNA", at positions 523 to 918 of the family's 1533-position model. The record is from RNAcentral.